This 887-nucleotide long non-coding RNA is filed under the name Citrus x clementina. Its description in RNAcentral is "Citrus clementina (C. clementina) long non-coding RNA (CCLE_LNC002171)". The record is from RNAcentral. Lineage: Eukaryota; Viridiplantae; Streptophyta; Magnoliopsida; Sapindales; Rutaceae.
GGCGCGGGUGUGCCCGUGGCCUAUUUUUGGCACACGGAGGCCGCCCGCAAAGUCUGGGGCCAUUCCGAGUCCGGCGGACGAACUUCGCCCACGCCCCCAACCAAGGCUAUAGCCCACCCGUUUUUUGGCCAUUUUUCCGCUGGGGGGUCUUGGCGCCCCGACCUUCGGGGGCUGAUUUUUGGGCGCGGGUGCGCCCGUGGCCUAUUUUUUGCACACGGAGGCCGCCCGCAAAGUCUGGCGCCAUUCCGAGUCCGGCGGACGAACUUCGCCCACGCCCCCCACCAAGGCUAUAGCCCACCCGUUUUUUGGCCAUUUUUCCGCUGGGGGGUCUUGGCUCCCCGACCUUCGGGGGCUGAUUUUUGGGCGCGGGUGUGCCCGUGGCCUAUUUUUGGCACACGGAGGCCGCCCGCAAAGUCUGGGGCCAUUCCGAGUCCGGCGGACGAACUUCGCCCACGCCCCCCACCAAGGCUAUAGCCCACCCGUUUUUUGGCCAUUUUUCCGCUGGGGGGUCUUGGCGCCCCGACCUUCGGGGGCUGAAUUUUGGGCGCGGGUGUGCCCGUGGCCUAUUUUUGGCACACUGAGGCCGCCCGCAAAGUCUGGGGCCAUUCCUAGUCCGGCGGACGAACUUCGCCCACGCCCCCCACCAAGGCUAUAGCCCACCCGUUUUUUGGCCAUUUUUCCGCUGGGGGGUCAUGGCGCCCCGACCUUCGGGGGCUGAAUUUUGGGCGCGGGUGUGCCCGUGGCCUAUUUUUGGCACACGGAGGCCGCCCGCAAAGUCUGGGGCCAUUGCGAGUCCGGCGGACGAACUUCGCCCACGCCCCCCACCAAGGCUAUAGCCCACCCGUUUUUUGGCCAUUUUUCCGCUGGGGGGUCUUGGCGCCCCGACC